Molecule: long non-coding RNA, 640 nt
Filed under: Lathyrus oleraceus (garden pea)
Lineage: Eukaryota; Viridiplantae; Streptophyta; Magnoliopsida; Fabales; Fabaceae
Description: Pisum sativum (pea) long non-coding RNA (PSAT_LNC026983)
Source: RNAcentral
AAUUAAAUUAAUAUAUCAAAUAAGAUUUUGGCGGCAUAACGACACAUACAAGUCGAAUCCACGGAUCACAAGUUCGAUCAAACAACGCAAACAAAAGUAACCAAAUAGAAGAAAGCACAGAUAUUAUUUUUAAAUAUUUACAAAGCUAAUAUAACAUGUAGGAGGUUACAUUAGUAAACAAGAGUGCACAAAGUAAGUAAUAAAAAUGGUCUAUCUUCUCAUCAUUCUAAUGGCCCAAAUCUAAAAAUUUUAAACUCUAAUCUUAAAAAGAAAUUAAUAAAUAAGCAUCAAUAGCAAUAGAAAUUCAAAAACCCCAAAUCUAAAGUCUUAAUGAUAUUCAAAUACAUAUCAUAAUAAAACAAUAAAUUAGAUUGACUUUUCAACCCUCCAUUACACGUUCCUGGCAAAAGAAAUUCAACAAACCAAACAUAGGGCAGCAACAUUUUUAUUUAAAUUGUUAUCCAUAUUUACAGCAGUAUAAAUCCAAAUGGUCCCAAUAUUGACGGUGCAACCAACAAUCAAAUUAAAUUAUACCAUAAAACGAAAAUGACACACUACAAAAGCAUAAACACAGUGAAAUCAGAAUUUUCUCAAAGGCUAUUAGAAUCGUAUCAGUAGCUUACCAGUCCUGUUACAUUUC